CGUAGGCGGUCUUGUAAGUCAGAUGUGAAAGCUCUCGGCUUAACCGGGAAAGUGCAUUUGAAACUAUGAGACUUGAGUAUGGGAGAGGGAAGUGGAAUUCCUGGUGUAGAGGUGAAAUUCGUAGAUAUCAGGAGGAACACCGGUGGCGAAGGCGACUUCCUGGACCAAUACUGACGCUGAGGCGCGAAGGCGUGGGGAGCAAACA
Molecule: ribosomal RNA, 205 nt
Filed under: uncultured bacterium
Lineage: Bacteria
Description: partial 16S ribosomal RNA
Rfam family: Bacterial small subunit ribosomal RNA
Source: RNAcentral